This 468-nucleotide ribosomal RNA is filed under the name uncultured bacterium. RNAcentral describes it as "partial 16S ribosomal RNA". It matches the Rfam family "Bacterial small subunit ribosomal RNA", at positions 28 to 507 of the family's 1533-position model. The record is from RNAcentral.
GACGAACGCUGGCGGCGUGCUUAACACAUGCAAGUCGAACGGAAAGGCCCUGCUUUUGUGGGGUGCUCGAGUGGCAAACGGGUGAGUAACACGUGAGUAACCUGCCCUUGACUUUGGGAUAACUUCAGGAAACUGGGGCUAAUACCGGAUAGGAGCUCCUGCUGCAUGGUGGGGGUUGGAAAGUUUCGGCGGUUGGAGAUGGACUCGCGGCUUAUCAGCUUGUUGGUGGGGUAGUGGCUUACCAAGGCUUUGACGGGUAGCCGGCCUGAGAGGGUGACCGGCCACAUUGGGACUGAGAUACGGCCCAGACUCCUACGGGAGGCAGCAGUGGGGAAUAUUGCACAAUGGGCGGAAGCCUGAUGCAGCAACGCCGCGUGCGGGAUGACGGCCUUCGGGUUGUAAACCGCUUUCGCCUGUGACGAAGCGUGAGUGACGGUAAUGGGUAAAGAAGCACCGGCUAACUACGUG